This 426-nucleotide unclassified non-coding RNA is filed under the name soil metagenome. RNAcentral describes it as "partial contains 5.8S ribosomal RNA, internal transcribed spacer 2, and large subunit ribosomal RNA". The stretch from base 1 to 121 matches the Rfam family "5.8S ribosomal RNA", at positions 35 to 154 of the family's 154-position model. The record is from RNAcentral.
GAUGAAGAAACGUAGCGAAAUGCGAUAAGUAGUGUGAAUUGCAGAAUUCCGUGAAUCAUCGAAUCUUUGAACGCACAUUGCGCCUUCUGGUAUUCCGGAAGGCAUGCCUGUUCGAGAGUCAUUAACAACCGUUUCGAUCCCUUUCUUUCAGAAAUUACAAAGAGGAAAAGGGUUUGGUUAUGGUGGAGGAGGGAAAGGGAGCGUUUAGCCUGUAAAAAAAGAGGCUGUGUUCCGCCUCCCCCCCAAAAUUGUACAGGCGGUCGUGUGCGCCCACGCAUCGAGGUGUUGUAAAAGCUGCCACGGCACUUUUCACCUGUGCAGUGCGAGAUUGGCCAGCCGGUUUAAAAACCCCUCCAAACAAUCAAAGGUUGACCUCGGAUCAGGUAGGGAUACCCGCUGAACUUAAGCAUAUCAAUAAGCGGAGGA